UCAUUAUGAUGAGAAAACAUUUUCAGUUCUGCUUCUGCAAAAUUUUUGAAGAUAACAAAAUACCUUACCAAAAACUCCUGAUCC
This is a non-coding RNA of Penicillium camemberti, 84 nucleotides long. NCBI's taxonomy places the organism in Eukaryota, Fungi, Ascomycota, Eurotiomycetes, Eurotiales, Aspergillaceae. The record is from Rfam.